AGUGAACGCUGGCGGUAGGCCUAACACAUGCAAGUCGAACGGCAGCACAGUAAGAGCUUGCUCUUACGGGUGGCGAGUGGCGGACGGGUGAGGAAUACAUCGGAAUCUACUUUUUCGUGGGGGAUAACGUAGGGAAACUUACGCUAAUACCGCAUACGACCUACGGGUGAAAGCAGGGGAUCUUCGGACCUUUCGCGAUUGAAUGAGCCGAUGUCGGAUUAGCUAGUUGGCGGGGUAAAGGCCCACCAAGGCGACGAUCCGUAGCUGGUCUGAGAGGAUGAUCAGCCACACUGGAACUGAGACACGGUCCAGACUCCUAGGGGAGGCACCAGUGGGGGAUAUUGGACAAUGGGGGCAAGCCUGCUCCAGCAAUACCGCGUGGGUGAAGAAGGCCUUCGGGUGGUAAAGCCCUUUUGUUGGGAAAGAAAAGCAGCAGGUUAACACCGCGCUGUUCUGACGGUACCCAAAGAAUAAGCACCGGCUAACUUCGUG
This 492-nucleotide ribosomal RNA is filed under the name uncultured bacterium. RNAcentral describes it as "partial 16S ribosomal RNA". It matches the Rfam family "Bacterial small subunit ribosomal RNA", at positions 29 to 507 of the family's 1533-position model. The record is from RNAcentral.